UACGGGGGGGGUAAGCGUUGUUCGGAAUUACUGGGCGUAAAGGGUUCGUAGGUGGCCAACUAAGUCAGACGUGAAAUCCCUCAGCUCAACUGGGGAACUGCGUCUGAUACUGGUCGGCUUGAGUGCAGGAGAGGAACGCGGAAUUCCAGGUGUAGCGGUGAAAUGCGUAGAUAUCGCUUGGAACGCCGAAGGUGAAAACAGACUGCUGGGGUUGCGCCGACGCUGAGACACGAAAGCCAGGGGAGCAAACGGG
RNAcentral lists this ribosomal RNA (253 nucleotides) under uncultured bacterium. Its description in RNAcentral is "partial 16S ribosomal RNA". It matches the Rfam family "Bacterial small subunit ribosomal RNA", at positions 524 to 776 of the family's 1533-position model. The record is from RNAcentral.